This 2456-nucleotide long non-coding RNA is filed under the name Homo sapiens (human). Its description in RNAcentral is "HSALNT0137211". Lineage: Eukaryota; Metazoa; Chordata; Mammalia; Primates; Hominidae. The record is from RNAcentral.
UGUGUGUGUGUGUGUGUGUGUGUGUGUGUAUUUAGGGGAGGGGGCAGUUUGGGGUAUUCAAAAAGAAAGAAAAUUUACAAAAUUAAGUUACAGAGAAAUGAACAGAGUUCUUACAUUAUGACAUGAUGGACCCACAUCUUUACAUUAUCAGGGAUUUAAAAAACAUUUCAAAGAAAAAGACAAAAUUGCUCUGUAAUAAUAAUACCUGACAUUUGUAUAAUCCUUCAUAGUUUACAAAGUGCUUUGAACUAUGCAUUAUUUUGUUUGCUCACUGUAGAAACUCAUACUUUUCAAAAGCAACUGUGAGGCUUCAUUGCAGUGGAGGUGCAUGAUGUGGAGAUUUAUCCUACAGGAUGCCUUUUAGGUGCAACUUGGCCAUCUUCUUAAUCUUCUGAAAAAGCACAUUGCCCAACAUGAACUAAGGUUUAUAGAUGCCAAAUAUUACAAAAGAAUGGAAAACAAUCUGCUGGCAAACAGGGCAUUUUAGAAUUUUCCACUCAUCUCCCAUUUACUACUUAGGAGUUGAUAGUUAUUUUAAGGGGAUGAUGGCUUGAAUACCAAGAUAUCAUCUAACAGACUUUCUUUUAAUUCAUUUUUGUUUAUUGUUGUUGUUGUUUAGUUUUGCUGAGUGAUUCUUCAACCUGAAGUUUUAUACAAACAACUGCACAAUUUUCACAGUCCUCACUCUAAAUCCUGAUUCUCAAGUAACAUAUAACAUCCCGUCCUGGGGAAAUUACCCCUGUCUAGGUGUGGCUCUCCACCAGAGGACUCAGAAAUGGGAAAAUGAUCAUCUCUCAGGACAGAGUCACAUUACCCAAGCUCCUAAAACCAAUGUAAGAAGACUGCAAGCUGCCCAAGCUCAGUUUCCCUGGAACCAGACUCUACUCCCCAUCCAUUGGUCUCCCUAUAAAGGUAUCAUGGAAACUCUGCCGUCUUCAAGAAAUGGUUUCCAAAGUCACUCUGACCAUCAACAUCCAAUGUUGGACAAGAAAAGAAAAAAAGUGUGAAGAGGCCGCCUUGAUUUGCCACAACAUCCACCUGCAGGGACGGAGAGCACUCUGCUCUGACACUGCCAUUGAAGACAAGUGGCCCAGCCCCUCUGGGCCACUAGACAGAAGUGGGAAGAACUUCUGUGAAGUGCCGGUCUGGCUGGGAACCACCUCAUUCUGCAUGGUAGAAGGAAAAUAUGAAUCUUUGGUAGACAGUAGCCACCUCUGCCAUAAGUUCUUUGUGAUAUCUCCAAAUACUACAGGUUCCAUUGUUUCCAGAAUACAUACAUAGAAAAGCACCUCUCACAUCAGCAAGGGGCUUAUUCUGUAAGUGACCUGAUGUUGGAGUUGCAGUUCUGGAAGCAGAGUUCAAAGCUAAAAGCAAAUUUCUCAUCCCUGUCUCAGAAUAGAACUAGUCUUAUUAACUAGACAAACAGCGAUCAGUCUUGAUUUGAGGAAGGCCAAUCUAAAUCAAUGGAAAGCCUAAAAUUAUUUUAUUUUAUUUUAUUUUAAAUUUUAUUUUAUUUUAUUGGUGAGUUCUUGCUUUGUUGCCCAGGCUGGAGUGCAGUGGCGCAAUUAUAGCUCACUCUAGUCUCGAACUCCUGGGCUCAUAAGAUCCUCUCACCUCAGCCUCCUGAGUAGCUGGGACAGCUGGACACCACCAUACCCAGCCAAUUUUUUACUUUGUAGAGACAGGGUCUCACUAUGUUGCCCAGGCUGGUCUUGAACUAUUUCUUUUUAAAUAUAAGAAGAUGUAUUAUUUUUACGUAAAUGAAGCAACUGAAAGGAGGGAAAGAUGAGGAAGGAACUAAUAUUUAUUGAGUAUCUAUAGGUACCAUAUGCUGCCAUAUAAUGAAGUAGCUAGAUAUUCUCUGUGUGCUAACUCAGUCUUUACUAGAUCCCCAGAGGGUGAAGAAGGAAUUGGGGCACAGAGAAAUCAAGUGAUUUGAAAUCCCUUGAUUUACCAAAGCUCACACAGCUAUUAAGUGGUGAGCGGGGAUUAGCACUGAGAAUUCUGUGGCUCUAAGGCCAAGGCACAACUUUCCACAGCAUAUGUCCUCAAUGUGGCCUCAAACAUGCUGCUCCUCAUUAACUGUUGUAGACUAGAGCAAGAUGGAGAGAAACUGGCACAUCUGAGAUGUGUACAUGAGUGGCAGAUUCUAAGAUACAAUUUUAAAAUAUUCUGUUCUCUUGAACUUUUAAACAGUGUUUUCCCUACUUAUUCACAUGAUCCAUUCGUACUUUCUCUACAGAACAUUUUUCUUGUUGAAUAAAAUCUUCAGCUGACUCUCCAUCAAGUCAUUGCUCCUUCAGUAUCCACAGACACGCGGCUGCAGCAUCCUUCCCUUAGGUACUGGAGUUCCUGCUUCUAAGGCCUAGUGAAUCAGGAAGAAAAAAAAAUCGUGUAUGGGCUUAAUUAGGCAUAAUUGGAAGCAUUCUCUUCUUUUUAUGAAGGACCUUAAAAAU